RNAcentral lists this ribosomal RNA (497 nucleotides) under uncultured bacterium. RNAcentral describes it as "partial 16S ribosomal RNA". It matches the Rfam family "Bacterial small subunit ribosomal RNA", at positions 28 to 507 of the family's 1533-position model. The record is from RNAcentral.
GAUGAACGCUGGCGGCGUGCCUAAUACAUGCAAGUCGAGCGAACAGACGAGGAGCUUGCUCCUCUGACGUUAGCGGCGGACGGGUGAGUAACACGUGGAUAACCUACCUAUCAGACUGGGAUAACUUCGGGAAACCGGAGCCAAUACCGGAUAAUAUAUUUAACCGCAUGGUUCAAUAGUUAAAGACGGUUUUGCUGUCACUUAUAGAUGGAUCCGCGCCGCAUUAGCUAGUUGGUAAGGUAACGGCUUACCAAGGCGACAAUGCGUAGCCGACCUGAGAGGGUGAUCGGCCACAUUGGAACGGAGACACGGUCAAGACUCCUACGGGAGGCAGCAGUAGGGAAUCUUCCGCAAUGGGCGAAAGCCUGACGGAGCAAGGCCGCGUGAGUGAUGAAGGUCUUCGGAUCGUAAAACUCUGUUAUUAGGGAAGAACAAAUGUGUAAGUAACUAUGCACGUCUUGACGGUACCUAAUCAGAAAGCCACGGCUAACUACGUG